UCCUGUUUGACACAGGCAGUCCCCCCAGAGUCCCCGGCAUGACCCGCUGGCAACUGAGGGUAAGGGUUUCGCUCGUUAUAGGACUUAACCCGACAUCUCACGACACGAGCUGACGACAGCCAUGCAGCACCUGUGGUCGCUUCCGGAUUGGAUACCGUUCGUUCCCGUUUCCGGGUCCUACCUGCAACCUCUUUCGAACAUGUCAAGUCCAGGAUAAGGUUCUUCGCGUAGCCUCGAAUUAAGCCACAUGCUCCACCGCUUGUGUGAGCCCCCGUCAAUUUCUUUGAGUUUCAGCCUUGCGGCCAUACUCCCCAGGCGGAGAACUUAGCACUUUUGCUUCGGCAGUAAGUCCAUGUCUAACCUACUACCUAGUUCUCAUCGUUUAGGGCCAGGACUAC
This 398-nucleotide unclassified non-coding RNA is filed under the name uncultured Planctomycetia bacterium. RNAcentral describes it as "contains 16S-23S intergenic spacer region". The record is from RNAcentral. Lineage: Bacteria; Pseudomonadati; Planctomycetota; Planctomycetia.